AUUGAACGCUGGCGGCAGGCCUAACACAUGCAAGUCGAGCGGUUGAACGGAGAUUGCUCCCGGAUUCAGCUGCGGACUGGCGAGUAAUGCAGAAGAAUCUCCCUAGCAAUUUUGUAUAUCGUCCUAACAAGGGCACAAAUACCGUACUCGUCCAGAGGGAGUACGUGGGAGACUUUGGGACCUCAGGCAAUCACAUGAUCCUAUGUCCGAUUAGCUGGUUGGUGGGUUAAAGGCCUACCAAGUCGACGAUCCGUAACUGGUCUGAGAGGAUGAUAAGUCACACUGGAACUGAGACACGGUCCAGACUCCUACGGGAGGCAGCAGUGGGGAAUAUUGGACAAUGGGCGAAAGCCUGAUCCAGCCAUACCGCGUGUGUGAAGAAGGUCUUCGGAUUGUAAAGUACUUUAAGUUGGGAGGAAGGGCAGUAAGUUAAUACCUUGCUGUUUUGACGUUACCAACAGAAUAAGCACCGGCUAACUUCGUG
This 484-nucleotide ribosomal RNA is filed under the name uncultured bacterium. RNAcentral describes it as "partial 16S ribosomal RNA". It matches the Rfam family "Bacterial small subunit ribosomal RNA", at positions 30 to 507 of the family's 1533-position model. The record is from RNAcentral.